Glycine soja is the source of this 1874-nucleotide RNA transcript. It is a transcript of the gene named probable indole-3-pyruvate monooxygenase YUCCA10, with no coding region annotated. Lineage: Eukaryota; Viridiplantae; Streptophyta; Magnoliopsida; Fabales; Fabaceae. The record is from RefSeq and is a predicted model, not a curated record. The transcript is spliced from 5 exons.
AAACUACAUUGGUUUUACGACACGACUUGAAUCACAAACUAAUUUUAUCUGAAAUAUCUCUUUCAUAGAACGGAGAAAGACACGAUGCAGGAAGCGACGAAGGUGAUAAUAAUCGGUGCCGGAACUUCUGGUAUCGCCACCGCCGGUUGCUUAACGAAGCAAUCAAUACCUUACAUAAUGCUCGAGAGAGAAGACUGUUUCGCUUCGCUGUGGCAGAAAUACACCUACGAUCGUCUCCACCUUCAUUUGAGGAAGCAAGUUUGCGAGUUACCGCACUUACCGUUUCCCAAGUCUUACCCUCACUACGUGCCUCGGAAGCAGUUCAUAGACUACUUGGGAAACUACGUUAACCACUUUGAGAUCAAGCCUCUGUACCAGCGUGCAGUGGAGUUGGUGGAGUAUGAUGGAUGGAAAGGGAUUUGGAGAGUGAAGGCUCAGAAUAGAAGAUCUGGUGAGCUUGAGGAAUACGCUGGAAAGUACCUGGUCGUGGCCAGUGGCGAAACCGCCGAGCCUCGUCUGCCUCAGAUUCAAGGCUUGGAGAGUUUCAAUGGAAAAGUGAUUCACUCAACUGCCUACAAAAACGGGAACGAGUUUAAGAAUAAACAUGUUCUGGUUGUCGGAUCUGGCAAUUCCGGCAUGGAGAUUGCGCUAGACUUGUCCAAUUUUGGUGCCAAACCUUCCAUCAUUGUUCGCAGCCCGGUUCAUUUUCUUUCGAGGGAUAUGAUGUAUUAUGCGUCGCUUAUGCUGAAUUACUUGUCGCUGAGUACGGUGGAGAAGGUGUUGGUGAUGGUUAGCAAGGUUGUGUAUGGAGAUCUGAGUGAGUAUGGGAUACCGUAUCCGAGUGAGGGGCCUUUCACCAUGAAGAUGAAGUAUGCCAAGUUCCCAAUCAUCGAUGUAGGAACUGUCAAGAAAAUUAAAUCUCGAGAGAUACAGGUGUUGCCAGCUGAAAUAAAGAGUAUAAGAGGUAAUGAAGUUUUGUUCCAGGAUGGCAAAUCGUACACAUUCGACUCAAUUGUUUUCUGUACAGGCUUCAAGAGAUCAACUCAAAAGUGGCUUAAGGGGGGUGAUGAUCUUCUAAAUGAGGAUGGCUUUCCAAAAAACAGUUUCCCAAAUCAUUGGAAAGGUCGAAAUGGUUUGUAUUGUGUUGGGCUGUCAAGAAGGGGUUUCUUUGGAGCUAACAUGGAUGCCCAAUUAGUAGCAAAUGAUAUUGCCUCGUUAAUUCCUCAAGAAGAAAGAGAAGGAAUUUGUGUCAUGUAAUGAUCUAUUAUCUAUUAUUGGUUGCAGAAACAGUAUGUACAUGACACUUUCUUCUUUUGGGGAUAUGAAUUAGAAAAGCAUUGAAGGAGAAAGAAGAAUGCAGCAGGAGGGAAUUAAGCAGAGAGUGAUAAUCGUGGGAGCAGGCCCAUUAGGCCUCUCCGCCACAGCAUGCUUACCUGUGGAAGAAAUAUUCCUACACCGCCUCCACCUCCACCUCAGGAAACAGUACUGCCAACUUCGGAAGAACGGUGGAGCUGGCGGAGGAGUACCGUGGGAGGUUUCUGGUGGUGGCCACUGGGGAAACGAACGAAUGACCCUUUUGUGCCGGAGCUGGAAGGGCUGAGUGGCAUGGAAAUCGCCUUCCACCUUGUCAACCAUGGUGUCAAAUGUUGAGAUUUAAUUUUAAAUAUAGGAAUUCAAUCAAUCAGAUAAACAAUCAUCAAUCCUAAUCACACAUGUCCUAUUCAUGUAGAGAGAAAGUAGCUUGCUUUGUAUAAAUGAAACCAUAAUCACUUAUAUUGUUAUUGGUAACUCAGCAACACAUUUAAUCAUUAUAAUUUAAUCCCUCAUCAAAUUAUAAUAUAAUUAGUAUUUAUAUAAUUAUAUUUUAUAAUGUA